UUUUUUUUUUGCAGGUGUGGUAAACAUCGACACUUCAGGACUCACAGCACUAGAAGAAAUACACAAGGAGUUGGUUUCUCUUGGCAUACAGGUGAAGUACUUAACUGCUUAGCAUACUUUUAAGUUUGGGGGCAAAAUAAGACUUAUAGUGCCAACUUGCCAGGUAAAAUGUUCUCAUGAUAUUUCUGAAACAAACUAUCUGCAGAUGGCUAUAUCCAGUCCAGGAUGGAAUGCAGUACAGAAGAUGAAAGUGUCGCGGGUCGUGGACAGAAUAGGAGAAGAUUGGAUCUUCCUGACAGUAGGUGAAGCAGUGGAGGCCUGUCUAACUGAACAAAAGGGCACGGCUCUCGAAUGUUGAGCGCGUGGUAAUCAGUAGAAAUAAUCCCAUAAGUGAUGCAGCUUUGCAUCCUAUGAAGGUGUUACUGCAAUGUUUGCGCAUGAUGAGCAGGCAACUACCUAUAACUGAUUGGCUGUAGUGAGGAGUGGCUGUGGGGAACAAAAUCCUGCCGUGCUACAAAGGUUCAUGUUGCCAUGUUGGGCGUUCUAGUCAUGAACUCAUGCUACUUAACCAAGUGUGUCUCUGAUCCCUAAAAAAUAGUUCCGCACCUCCUAAAAAGAGCUACCGGAAAUUAAGAACAAGAAGCAACCACAAGCAUACAGCUGCGCCUCUAUAAGUCUGUAUAAAAAAACCUAAGGGGGAGAGAAGAAGAGCGAGGAGGAGCAGAGCGUACAGGCAAGGCGGUGUCGCCGCUGUGUCCGUCCGUCAGGUCGGACUCGGCGUAGGGUUCGGAGCUUCGGGAAGGAAGGGGAAGCCCUUCGUCUCUGCGAUGACGACGGCGUCGUGCCCCCGCCCGCCGCCGCUCAGACGUGCAAAUUGAGAGCCAAGCCCAUCGGGUCGUUUGCUCUGGGCUGUGCGCGGUCCGUGCUGUUUCUUUUUGGUUAUUAGCGGGCCACGACGGCCCAACGAAUAUACUAGGCCGGCCUGCUGGGCUUAUCAGUUGUGCCAGGCCGCUCAACCGCUCCACUCACUCGGGCCCACUUGCCCGGCCCCAGGUCGACGAGUACCGCGUGCCCUUUCGUCGUCUUCCCGGCGUCGAGCCGCCGGUCUCGCUGCCGCGUGUGCACGCGCCGCCCUCCCGUGCGGGCACUGCUGCGAUGCCGAAGAGUGCGGAGAUGGCGGCUAGUAGGUCCGUAGGGAGCGAGCGAUGCACUGAUGCAACGGACGAGAGGGAGGAGGAGGAGAGGGAGAUGGAUGGAUGGUGAAUCAGGCAGCAAUGGGGCGAAACGCCCAAGAAUGGGGGAGGAUAAGGCGCGACCGGGCGAGAGAGCCCACCUCGGCCUUGUCUUCAGGUUGCCCUCGAUUCCUGGGAGAUGCGAUUUCUUACAACAGCGACCUUACGCUAUUGUUUUUUCAUUUUCCAUGAAUGGACUUCACCCGAUGUACGCCAUUGUUUUCUUGCCGGCUUUUUACAGGAAGUCAGAAGUACUCGCCUCUAAAAAAGUACCAGGCACUCAUCGUUAGUUCCCUCGAAAUAAAAAUCCCUAAAAAAAGAGCAUGAAACACCUUUGCUUCUCUCUUUACAUUUGAAAGAAGCCUUCACUUAUACAUCUUGGUUUCACUUCCAUAGAAACUGGAUGUAGACUCUGCAGUACUAGAUUGUUGUUGAGAACUAUGCUAAGAAAAGCAAUAUAGUUUGAUUACACGUGUUAAAGGACGGUAGUUACUUUUUACUAAAGGGAGUAAUGAAAGCAAUCAGAUCGUCUGCAUCCACUUAAAAAAAAGGAAAAAAAAACUUUGUUCUGUCUAGGCCUAAACAUCCCGUCCGUGCGUGAUUUUCUUUGCACAGUAUUAUAGUUGACUCUAGCCAAUUAUUCGAAAUUUUGAAAGGAACAUACCUUGAUUGGCAAUGAGUAAGUGGACAAACCACUUCCCUCAACACAUCCAAUGAGCUAUUUUGUGUAUUAUGAUCAAAGUCUAUACUUGCUUGCCAUGGGUCCAAAAUAUGUGGCCACCAUUCACCACUCACCAUUCUUGGCUAGCCAUAUUUGUUACUGCCACACAUUUGUUUGGUAAGGCCAACUUAUAUCAAAUCACAUGUUAGACUAAUUAGUUUGAUUCUAUCAGAACACUUGAUUGCGUAGAAUAUUGAUAUUCGAAUCUUGCUUAAAGCAAAGCCAUGUGGGUAUGUGGCUGGGUACAUCUGCGUUGGCGUAAUCAAUGUGUGACAACCGCAAAUUCAGCACUUAUCGUAUGCAUGAUACGCAGAGCUCAAAAUAGAGGCCUGCUCCAAGAUAAGCCUCCUUGUCUUUCGAAAAAAUAUAAGCCUCCUGGGUUGAGUACUAUAGCACAACUUCUGUCAUCAUUCAUCCUAUGGUUCAGUAAAACAUUUCUAUUUUUAUUCUGCUUGAAGAUUAUGGUGAUUGAAGAACUUCAAAGUCAAAUGAGGGUCAGCUGUGCAAUUAUUUAUGGAAAAGUCGCAUUAAGUUCUAUCAUUCACCACUUUUUCCUUCAACAAUAUUACUGCAGGUCAGCAAUUUUAUUUGCAGUUAUCCCUGUGUCUCCAUAUAUUCCCUUUAAUUUCGUUGGCAAAGAGCAAGUGAUUGGAGGGGACAUAAAAAGUGAUUUUCUUCUUAUUCUCUGAACAGGAAGCGGUAACUGCUAUCUGUUGGUUCUAGAAAACUUUUUUGCAACAAUUGGAACCUUUUCUUUAGUGCUGCUUGCUGCUCCUUUGCUGAAGCCUGCUAUGGUAGUUCUCAUUCACAUUUAGGCGGAGCUAUGUGUGGGCCAUGGCCCCCCCUUGCUUGUACAAGUUUCUCACUAGUAGAUUGUUGCACCAGAUGAAACAUUUUAGCAUCAGCAUGAAUUAGCAACACAUCAUUUUACUCGGUACACGUUGAUGAUUGCAUUCCAUACAGUCAUAUUUCUCCUCUUCUUCCUCAACAAGUCAACAUCAAGCAAACAAACAUGUUUUUCUCUUUGCUUGAUGCUUCUACGACCAUUAAAACCACCAGUUGUGCAGUGUUUCGAGGUCUUGCCCCUCACCUCCCUAUUGUCACUGUUGAUGUCCAUACUUACUAUAUACCUUGGACAUGGUGUUUCCUGGCAGCAGUCACUCGCCACAAUAUCUGCUUGCGUGCUGCAUGUUUUCCUUUGCUGUUUUCUUGGUUGUGAACUUGCAAUUCUGAAGAGUCAGCUACUUAGGCAUGCAAAGAGCCAAAGAGUACCAAUUGGAAUGCCACAGAUAAUAGUCAGAUAGACAACCUGUAUUUCCAUCAAAACAAAGCCUAGUGGAACAGUCAUGAUUAGAAAUCUGGGGUACAGUUGAAUUCAUUUGGUGUAUUAAUGUGCCUCCUUUGCAUACCAAGAUGCGUCUGCAAAAAUAGGAGGCCCAACCGUGUAUAAUGCACUGUCUCUUGUCUCUAAAAGGUAUCUUGCUUUAACCAAGAACUAUAGGCACAGGCCCUUUAUAGUGCAUCCAUUCCUUUCUUGAAUAGUACUCAGCAUAAACCAAGAGCACUAUAUAUAGCACAUUGUAAGAUCAACUUAGAGCAGUGAAAUACACCUGAAUCAUCCAAGAUUCACGCGGAUCUGUGCUGCUUGCCUGAAAUCUUUUAGGGACCAAUAUGAUGUGAUGGAAUCUUGGCAGUUCUCUCAGGGAGUUCACCCAAACACUUCAAAACUAGCCAUCGAGCCUAUGGCAAGCGAGGCAUCUGUACCCAAAAGGGAAGGUUUUGCAGACCUGGUGCUGCAAGGGCCAGAGCCUCCAAGCCUGUGGUAUGAACUUAUUGGCAUGCUUAGAAAGGCAGUUCGCUACCGAAGUGCAGAUAAGCAUUUCACACUCUCUGUGUGCGCAAUGUCAAUUCUGCAUAGUCUGUUUCCAAUACUUGAAUGGUCGAAAAGCUACAGCUUGAAGUCUUUUCGAAGCGACGUCAUGGCUGGUCUUACUCUCGCAAGCCUUAGCAUUCCACAGGUGACAUUUUUUGGAUGAUAAGUAAUAUUGUUAGUACUCAUACAUAUAUUUUACAUGUAUUUGACUUGCUUCAUUGGAUUGGUAUUUUCUAGAGCAUUGGAUAUGCAAAUCUGGCAAAACUGGAUCCUCAGUAUGGUCUUUGUAAGUAAAAUUGCUUUUCGCUUUUCUCUCUUUUGAUGUUUCGUUGACCUACCCCAACUUUCUGGGACUAAAAGGAUUUGUUGUUGUUGUUUCUCUUUUGAUGUUCUUCUGAUUAAGUGGUUCUUUUUUUUGUGGGGAAGAUACAAGUGCCGUGCCACCUCUUGUAUAUGCUGUUAUGGGGACCUCUAGGGAGAUAGCCAUCGGACCAGUUGCAGUUGUGUCACUCUUGCUUUCAUCAAUGGUUCAGAAGAUAGCUGACCCAGCCAUCGAUCUGGCUUCCUAUCGGAAAAUGAUUUUCACUGUGACAUUCCUUACUGGUGUCUUCCAAUUUGCAUUUGGUCUGUUGAGGUAGAGCCUUAGCAGUCUUGUGAUCACAAUGAGCUUACUUUCCUUACUUUCACUAAUUGGCCUUUUGCAUCGAUGCUUAGGUUGGGUUUCCUUGUGGAUUUUCUCUCACAUGCUGCAAUCACUGGAUUCAUGGGAGGAGCUGCCAUUGUUAUUGGACUGCAGCAGUUGAAGGGGCUACUUGGGCUUAGUCAUUUCACAAGUAACACAGAUAUUGUAUCUGUCACCAGAGCAGUUUGGGUUUCUGUUCAUGAACCAGUAAGCAUUUUGCCCUUCUGUUCACUGUCAAUGGACACAGAACGAUAUCUUGAAAAGAAAAGUUCCAAUGAAAGAAUCGAUGAUCAUGGAUGUUGGCUUAUCAUAUGCAUAGUCAAUCUUGCUAUAGCAACUGUAAACUCUCUUUACCAAUUACUCUUGAUUGGACAACCACAAGUCUGUAAGGAAAUGUGUCUUUGAGUGACUAGUGUAGUUUUUGUUCGUUUUCAUUUCUUAAUGUUUUUCUGAUAAAUCCUUGUUAAUUUUCGCAUUUUUUGUCAUAAUGUUUGUUAUUUUUGGAUACCUCCUUUUUAAUGCAACGUUCAUCUGGCAUGUGGUGGCAGUGGCACCCCGAGAACUUCUUCAUUGGAUGUUCCUUUUUCCUGUUCAUUCUUGGCAUGAGAUUCAUAGUAAGAUUAUCUAGCUGUUCUCACUCUCAUUUGCUUAUAUGUUCACUUGCUUCUUUUCUUGCAAUACAUGAUUUAAAGGUUGGGACAUCAAUAAUUUUAGGGUCGGAAAAAUAAGAAGCUCUUCUGGGUCUCAGCGAUUGCACCUGUGCUCUCAGUUGCAUUAUCUACUCUCAUGGUUUAUAUGACUAGAGCUGAUAACCGUGGUGUGAAAAUCAUACAAAAAGUGGAUGCAGGCAUCAAUUCGAGUUCAGUCAAGCAGAUAAAUCUCAAUGGACCCUAUGUUACAGAAUGUGCAAAGAUAGCUCUUAUUUGUGCUGUUAUUGCUCUAACGGUAUGAGUUUACUGUACGAAUAUAUUAAACUGCACCAUAGGUCAACGUAAAAAACGUCUCCUAAUAUAGCAGUGGAGUUGAUUAAUGAUUCAAUGCUCUUAUAUGAACAAAUAAGUACACAAUUGCAAAAUCCUCAAGUCCCAACAUCCACUACUUAGAUUAAAAUUGGCUCGCCAAUUACUCUGCAUUUGCUCUGAAACUAUGCAGGUUUCUUGUAAAAGAAAUGAACUACUCUUACAUGAGUCCAAUUGUAAUUGAAAAAACUAGUAGAUACAAUGCAGGUUUCUUUUAAAAGGAGUGAACUACUCUUAUAUUAAUUCUUAUCUGCUGUUUCUUACUUUGUUAUAGGAAGCAAUUGCUGUUGGUCGCUCCUUUUCAGUCAUAAACGGAUAUAAAUUGGAUGGCAAUAAGGAAAUGGUAGCGAUGGGCUUCAUGAAUGUAGCAGGAUCCUUAUCAUCUUGCUAUGUGGCAACAGGUGUAUAAAAGUUAAGCACUAUCAUGUACUGCUGUUAACUUGUUUUACAGCUACAUUACGGUGGCCAUUAUCUGCAGGGUCUUUCUCCCGGACAGCUGUAAACUUCACAGCUGGCUGUAAGACAGCCGUGUCAAAUGUUGUCAUGGCUGCCACUGUGAUGGUUGCCUUGGAGCUGCUCAUGAAGCUCCUGUUCUAUACACCAGUGUCCAUACUUGCAUCGAUCAUUCUGUCAGCACUUCCAGGGCUGAUCAAUGUGCACGAAAUCUGCAUCCUGUGGAAAGUCGACAAGAUGGACUUCCUCACAUGCAUGGGUUCAUUUCUUGGUGUCCUAUUUGGAUCAGUGGAGAUUGGGCUUUCAGUUGCAGUAUGGUUACUCGUUCAAGCUCACCUUUACUGUUUUGAUUUUGAUUCUCAAAAGUUCAUUCCACCAAUGGAGUACAUUUUGCAGGUUGGUGUCUCCUUUGCAAAGGUUAUUGUACACUCAGUUCGGCCUCAGGUCCAGAUCCUCGGUAGGCUUCGGGGAACAAACAUAUUCUGCAACAUCAAGCAGUAUCCAAUGGUUUGUCAAACACCAGCUGUUCUGACCACACGCAUUGACACCUCAUUCCUCUGCUUCAUAAACGCCAAUUUCAUCAGAGAAAGGUAUAGAUAUGAAUUCUAACUUGUAAUUAAGCAAGUGGAAUCAACACAGGGCAUUGUUAGGUUGCAGUGCACUUCUAAAUAUUAACACGUGUUUCUUGUAUUCAGGAUUACAGGAUGGGUAACCGAAAAGCUUGAGGAAAUCCGCUCCGUCGUUCUUGACAUGUCAAGUAAAUGAAUUUCCACAAGUUGGUUGUUAAUCUGUUAGUACCACAAUCUAUCACAAGCUUAUAUUAUGUGACCCCUGGCGUGCAGAUGUGGUGAACAUUGACACCGCAGGUCUUGCAGCGCUGGAAGAACUGCACAAGGAGCUGGUGUCUCGUGGCAUACAGGUGCACGCUCUGAUACUCUCACACUUUGACUUUUGCAGAAAAAUGAUGCAAUACAACCACUCCAUCCUCCUUCACUUGCUGAGAACAACAAUGUGCAGAUGGCUAUAGCUAGCCCUGGAUGGCAGGUGAUCCACAAGAUGAAACUAGCACAGCUCAUCGACGGAACUGGAGAAGCCUGGAUCUUCCUCACGGUUGGCGAAGCUGUGGAAGCGUGCCUGGCCAAUAAGAAGGGCGGCGACCUGGAAUGCUGAAUUUGCUGCGGCGCUUUGCAAAAUAAACAUAUGGGUGUGGUAAUCAGUAUUUCUAUCUACUGUGCCCACGGCAGUGGAUUUCGCUAUCGUGCAAGCUGAUGCAGCUCUUGAAGUGUUCCACGGGUUGUGCGACACGCUUCGGUCAGAGGAGCUCUUGAGCACGCAGAAGCGUGGCGUCUGCAUAGAAUAAAGAAUACUGUGUGAACUGUGGUGUGAUGUGUGUAGGGGUACCCGGUCAGCAUGCGAGUGCUGCUUGUGAUUGUAUUUUGCAUGAUUGGAAUUUGGUGCCAAUAAAAGCUUGUGUUUGCUGCUAGCCUGCCUGAAGGCCUGUAGCCAAACAAAUUGUGGUGCUUGAGCGAACUGCCUAGCAUGGGUUGUGGCCCACAUGCCGGGGGGCGGCUUCACGCCCAUCGACGGCCCACGGAGUGAUUACACAGGCCCUGGCGUCCUCUCGCUCGGCAAUUUUCUGUAGAUGGGCCUGCCGACCGGACAAUGCGACGACAGAACCUAAAUGCUUGCUCAUAUAAAUUUGAUUUUUUUUGAUACCGUCAUCGCCUUGGGGAACAUGACAGUUGACUGGACGGGGAGCUAAACGCACAGUAACGUGCCGCCUGGUCCAACCAACCUCUGAACCCAUGGCAAAAUUAAGUUUUAAAAAAAAGGGGACCCGGUCAAAAUUCAGCAAACUCCCCUAAAGGGGUUACACCUUGAAGACCGUAAAAUUCCAGCAAUCCGACAGCACGUUCAAAAUUCAAGUCCGUCGUCCACGCGAGAAACUUGAAACGGUGAUUUCGGCACGUGCAAACGCUCCCCGCGCACUCGUACGUGCUGGUCCCGUCCCAUUUUCCCAGUGAAGAAAACGGCCGGGACACGCCCGUCCUACUGCUUCUAGUCUUGUGGACUGCUCCGCCACGACCCGCGAGUCAAUGCGAGCACCACCGAAGCUUGGCUUGCGUGGGGGCUUUCGCGUCACCUCUCGCACGUGGUGGUCGACGCAUUUCUGGUCAGGUCGGGCGCCGCCGCCCGUUCCAAUUGCGGUGAGGCAUGCGCGCGACUCGGGCGGGGCUCCGGUGUCCGGUCUCCUCGCCCGUUCCCUCUGCUUUAUUUCUUCCUCUGGUCCGGAGCGGGGCACGCGGCACCGCCGAUCGAGCUCGUCCCGAUCGAUGCGUACCUGCACGUCCGAUCCGGGGGGCGUGGGCACGGCCGCAUGCAAUGCACGGGAGGAGAGGAGAUCGGGAAAGGGAUGAGGACUUGCAGGAAAUUGGGAGGAAACCUCCCUUUCAUACAUACCACACCGUCGGCAACAACGUAACGAUCGACGAUGAGGAGGCAUCUAGUAUCUCGCAUGGAAACUUUCACGGUGGCUCGCUACGUUAGCCCACCGCAUAUCCAGCCAGCUCGGACACCAGCUAGCAGCUAGCAGUGGCGUCGCCGUCCGCUGGUACGAUCGGGCAAGCAGAUGGAGCCGAAUAAAGUUCCGUUUUCUUCCACUGACUUAUUUUUAGCACCCGUCACAUCGAAUGUUUAGAUACUAAUUAGGAGUAUUAAAUGUAGACUAUUAACAAAACCCAUUACAUAAGUCGAGACUAAACGGCGAGACGAAUCUAUUAAGCCUAAUUAGUCCAUGAUUUGACAAUGUGUUGUUACAGUAAACAUUUGCUAAUGAUGGAUUAAUUAGGCUUAAUUAGGCUUAAUAGAUUCGUCUCGCCGUUUAGCCUCCACUUAUGUAAUGAGUUUUGUAAAUAGUCUACGUUUAAUACUCCUAAUUAGUAUCUAAACAUUCGAUGUGACACGUGCUAAAAAUAAAUCACAUGAAGAAAACGCCCCCUAAUAACAGCGGAUCGACGCGUGCAGCAGAAGCCGCGAAGCCCUCUCGCCGAACGGGCACCUGGAAAAAAAGGGAUCUCUCGUUAUCCGCUUCUUCUUCUUUUUUACUUCUUGUUGCACAUGUACGCAGCAGCGGUCGCUGCGUAUACACAUCUCGAUCGUCUUCACUCGAGAGCUUAUCGCUGUUCUCUGUAGCACAGACUUUGGAAGAUCUCAGGAAUCUUGGACGAUGCAUGUGUUCCCUGUACCUAGCUAGCUGCCUGGUCUACCUUUUCCAACUUUAGUCUUGGUAACAAUUACCCGGGUUGCUGUCAUGGUAAUUGGUAAAAAUCGUAAAAGACUACUAAAAUGGGAAAUCUAACGGUUUUGUUUAACUUUUGUCCAAUUACAGAAGAGAUUCAACUGAUCGGCCUACUACCCGAAUUGCAUAUAAUUGCAUUGCGCAAACAGACAUAACCAUAUACGGAGCUGGCAGUCUGCUGCAGAUCCCACAAUGAGCUCCCACAAUCAUAUAGGGAACAGGCAUAAUCAUAUAGCCAACGAGGCCUGGUGCACAGUGGGACGCGCGCGGCAGUUACUGAAUCCAUCGCUGACAACCUCAGCGAGGAGCCAGCCACUCUCUUGCUCCCACGAACACUGGCAUCUUAUCUGGCCUGUGUAACCAUCUUAUCUUGUUCACGAGGACUACCCGUGGAAAAUUCUGACAACACAUGCAAUGCAUCUCCUUUGAUUCCGGCUGAGCACGACUACUGAACAUCUAUCUAUCGCGAGCUGGCCGGCCUGGUAGCAGCAAAAGCCGCUAACGGCAGGUCCCCGUGCAAGGAGGAAAAAACUACUACUAUAUUCCAUCAGAAAACACACCUGCACCUUCCUUACCACAGCAUCGCCGGCCGCCUAUAUUCGUAUCGUCAUUUGACCUCAUGGAUAGAUCGUUCGACAGCGCUAGCUACGCAGCACAGUCUGAAUCAUGCUUCGUCUUGGACCACAGCUCCACCGCCAUUUGCCACGCGUGUGCAGCUGCAGGCUUGCAGCUCAUUGCCAGGAAGCUCGUGUGUACGGAGCCCGAACAUUCAUACACAUUUCCAAGAACAUGCAUACGUAGCUAGCAAGCAAGAUGUACUGUAAAAGUCAGCAUUCAUUCCGAGGCUUAGUAUCGGUUGCAUUUUGAUCUGGUACUGAUGUGUACCGGGUCUAACGACUAGUCCUCGAGGAGCCCCCGUGUUACUAAUAGGUGACCUUUAGUACCGGGUGAAGUCUCCACCCGGUACUAAAGGGGUACCUCCCCUCACGCGUCAGUCCCUUCUCUCUCACUCCACGCUCACUCCCCUCCCCACACGUACUUAUCCGCUCGUCCCCCUCAUCCGGCCUCUCACCCGUGCCCCUCUCUCUCUUCUUCUCCUCACCGCCCCUCUCCUCCCUCCUCCACUCGCCCCUCACUUCUUACAUGUGGCGAGGAGUGGCGGCGGGGCAAGAAGCGAAGGAGGCAAGAAGGGAGGGCGCGGCGAGGCGGCGGAGCGUCGGCAAGGCGUGGCGGAGCUCCGGCAGGAUGGCGCGGCAGCGAAGCGUCGGUAGGCGUGGCAAAGCAAGGAGAGCGUGGAUCUUGGAGUAGCGGCCACCUCUCCCUCAAAUCCGGCGGCGGCGGCAACCGACGGUGAUGAUUGAGCAACGUAAGUAUGCCGCAUCCCUCCCCCCCUCUCUGGUGCGAGGCUCAGGAUGGCGGGGUGCGGCCGGGGCUCCGGGGCUCGGGUGGACGGUGGCGGGGUGCGGCUGAGGCUCCGAUCGACGGAUUUCUUUUUUUUAUUUUUUAAUACCCUUUUAGUACCGAUUAUUUGACCAGGUACUAAAGGUUCCCCUUUAGUUGGCCUUUAGUACCGAAGUAGCAAUAUCAGUUUGUACAACUAGUACCAAAGGCCAGCGGUGGCAUGUGUCUAUCGAAAAUCUAGAUCCAUGUGGCCACAUCAGACUGCACUUCGUCUGGUUCUUUCCUCCUUUCUUUCACCUCGAGAAUCUGGUUUUCAGAAAGGAAAAAAAAGAAUUUGCUCAUUUUCAAGCCUAAUGUAUAGAUUUUAGCUGUGUGCGGUUGCAGUGGUCGGAUUUUUUUUUCUAUUUUCUAAAAAUUAGCCUAAAAAGCUAUAGAUUAUACUGCAUACAAGCAAAUUUAGUAAUAUUGGAUUCGUAUUUGAAUGUACCUUCAAAUUACAUCGGUUUCAUGGUCUUGAACAAUAUAAAUACAUGAGAUAUUGACCGUCGAACUUUACUCUUAAGAGGUCAAACAAACACUACCUUACAUUUUGAAAGGAGGGAGUAGAAAUGUAAUGCUCUUGUUUACCACAGAAAAAAGGACAAAACAUGUAUUUUAAAGAAAAUUAAUGGACGCAUUGUAUAUGACAUCUAUCAGUAACGACUAUCUUAUCCUUCUUUUAAAACAGUGCUAAUGAACAUUUCAUUUCUAGGAAAUGGUGAUUACAAAUGUAAGCAUGAAAGUGAUCGCCGGUGCAAAUUAGUCAACCAUUACCUAGCACAACCAACUUCAGAAAACAAGUGUUGACUCCUGCGCAUUUGCCGCGUUUCGGUAUAUAUCUUAACUCCCACAUGCUGUUAGCACAAUGGCACCCAUUUCUCUUACGCGUUCCUGAAAUCUAACAAUUUGAUUAUAAACUAAGCAGCGUCGUCCUGAAUUUUCUUCUCAUUAAGCUGGAGGAGCGAACGAAAUGCUCACGCAUAGACAGACGGUCAAGGACAUAUUUGAUGCUGACAAAAUUGAUGGACGACCUGUGGAGAGUUCCCAGCAAGAAAAGCUCUGCAUGGAGCAGAAAACGUGCACACAGUGAAAACGAAGUAACGACGGGAUCACAUCACUGCCGUGACUCUGCCGUGACUCUAAAAGUACUGGACGUUCAAUCCAACGAGGGAACAACGCUGUUGUUAACCAAGGUAAAAGGUUCAUUGCAUUUUCUUUCCUUUCAACUGCCGUGACACAUGCACAAGUCCCUUGUCUUUUCUUUUGUAUGUUCAUUGCAUCUGAAACGUCAAAACCUGGCUGUGCGUUUCUGCUAGAGUAUAUGUGAUAUUUUUCUUUUGGUGGAGUUGAAUGAUUUGAUACGUAUAUGAAUUAAAAUUUGUGUAUGUGAUAUUGUAUAGAAAAACAAUAUGUGACAUCUGCCGAUGCUAAUCAAACAAUACUGCAAUUAUUCAAGUUCUAAUUAAUAAUGUGUAUGCAUAUGGAGAGUACUUGAUGUGUGUAUGAAUGCGUGAGCUGACCAACCACUAUUUGUUGGUUGACCACGAAUGCAUGUCGAGUGAGCUUCAUGUGCAGACUAUCACUAACCAGCUGUACGUGAUUAGGGAGAUGCUAAUCUUCAGUUGCUGACUUUAACCUCGCCACUUUGCCGGCCGCUCACAUCAUUCAUCGGCCAACCUGCCUCCCAAGGUCCUCGAAGCUCGGCAUCCAUGGAUGACCCGUCAAAACCCAAAACCCUAAAUCGCAGCAGCAGUGCAGCACGGACAUAUAUAAUCUAAGAGGUGUCGUUUAGGACAAGCAAGCUAGUUUAAAAAAUAAAAUAUUUAUAUAUAUAUAUAUAUAUAACUAAGAUCAGAGGUAGUAAUUAUUAUCUUUAUUAAUACUUUGGUUGUGGUUAGUGAUUUUUCAUUUUCUUGAAAAUAUCCGUUUAUCUGCAAAGUGCAAUGCUACGUACAUGAUGCUCUCACAUAUCAUUCCCUUAUGCCCCUUAUUUGAUGUAUAUAAGAGCAUCCAAGUUCAGAGGCCAGAUUAUACUACUUCUGCUUCCACAAACUGAGAAAAGAUUUACUGAAAAUUAAUGACAAAAAUCACUCUUACCUACUACCUUCGUAGCAUUGACCCUGACAGGAGGAACUGAAAUUUGUGACUUGACUUAAUUACCUAGCUAUUCAGAAGGUCUACCUGAAAACAAUAAGGAGAUUUGGAGUCAACUCAGUUGGCUUAUUUGCACCUUGUAGAUAUUCUUGUUUUCAAGGUUAGGUCAGGACCUAGCAACAGACAUAGAUUAGCAAUUGUCAUUCCAUUGAAUUUCUAGCUAGUGUACAAUGAGGGCAAAAUUGACCUUGCCCCUCUCGAAAAAAAGAAGAAGAAUAGACAUGGAACUAGUAGAUGUCGAGCAGUACGGAGUUGAUGAUAGACACAUGCAUAUAUAUGUUUUACCCUAGCAGGUGCGUCGACGCACUCAGCAAUUAUACAUAUUUUUAUACAAUGGUCAAUAAGUAGCUUUCAUUUUAGAGAAAAAGGAAAAGAGCACAGGUUCGCUUAAUGUCUUCUAGGAGUCCAGAGGUUGUUCAACGAACCUCGUUCUGUACGGUUACACAAGUGAUCGGAGGACUUGGUAAUGGUCAGGUCUGAGGUCGGCAAAGAAAAUUAUUCCCGGAACUGCACGAACAUUCAAAAUCAAUCAAGCACAUAAUCAGGCCAUGAGGGAAUGCCAGUGAAAAUCCCAGUUAGAACAGUUUCAGGCAGUUGUCUGGAAAGUUGCACAUGUGCACGUCCCUUCAGUGCAGCGCCGCAGAGUUUUGUUAGUUGGGCAAUGUAGCCAUGCAGGGUAUGCAGACACAGAAGGCACAAAACCAUCUCUACAGUCAGUCUGAGUCCUUCUAAUCACACAGUAGUACAUGGUCACUACCGGAAAACUGAACAUUUAUCCUAACCCUUAGUACCGGUCCCUAGGAGUCCCCCGUGACGCCCUUUAGUACCGGUUGGAGGCUCCAACCGGUACUAAAGGUUGCACAUUAGUACCGGGUGGAGGCUCCACCCGGUACUAAUAUGCAACCUUUAAUACCGAGUGCAGCCUCCAACCGUUAUUAACUUCCCUCCUAUAAACCCCACAUCUUCUUCCUCCUACCCGAGCCAUUCACCACAGUUCGGGCUUCAUCCUAUCCAUGGCGCCAUAGGGGAGGUGCUGCCGGAUUGGACACCAUUUCAUGGGGAUUUCACUCAUUCAAGUGUUCUAAAGGUUAGAAACUUCAUCCUCCCUUGAUACGUGAUUAGUAUACUAAGUUUUAUGCUUUAGAGCUAGAGUAAUUUAUGAUUUUUAGAAUAAGAUACAAUGGAUAAAAAAUUCAUUUAUAUGCAUGUGUUAUUUAGAGCUCUUAUUUGUGUUUUUUAGAAUAAGCUACAAUUUUUUGUAUGCUAUAUUUCGUAUUAGUCAAAGAAAUUGAUAUGAGCUUAGAGAAAUAAUUGAGCUUAGUCCUUUACAAAUAUGAGCUAAAUAAAUUAUCGGAAAAAAUAUAAUUUGUUCAUAUUUUAGUCAUUUGCAAAUAUGAGCGAAAUAAAGUGUGGUACAUAGAGAUAAUAAGAUGAAAUAGAGAUACGUAAUUAUUCAUUUUUAGAAUAAGCUACAAUGGAGAAACUUUUCAUUUAUAUGUUAUGUUUGAGCUAAAUAAAUUAUGGGGAAAAAAUAUAAUUUGUUCAUAGUUUAGUCAUUUGCAAAUAUAGGCUAAUAAAUAAAUUGUGGUUCAUAGAGAUGGCUAUUGCUGCUGGAGGUAGUGGCUAUGGUAGGGGCGAUCGUCGUUCCUCUCGCGGUAAAGGGGUUGGCCCUCAUGAUAAGCCAAAGAAAAUGAGCACGUGAGAGAGAACAAUGCUUCGUUAUUUGCAAAGAUGUCAUGAAGAUGCUGUUGCGGCGGGUCAGGAAUCUUUUUUUGGUGGCUAAUGCUCGAAGUUCGGAUUGGAGAUCAACAUUAUUUCCGUGGGGAAGACAUUAUAAAUGUGCUGCUAGAGGAACUCUAUUUCCUUUACAAUCAAGAUAUACUUGACAAGUCACUCAUCAGUUUUUGGGUUCUGUAAGUCUUUAAUUUGCUCUGUGCGAUGUAUUAACUUCUAUUCGAUUUUGUAUCAUGCAGGAUGGAGAUUCAAACUUGCCGGAGAAAAGGAUACUAUGACAUCGGCUUCAUGGACCCGGAUAUUAUAAACGAGACAACUCUAAGAGAUAUACCAAAUCGGAUCUUGAAGAACAUAUAUAAGUUCCUAGACAACCAACAUUACAAGAAGUACAUACUUCUACCAUACAACUUCAAGUGAGCGUGUUUUCCAUCUCUUUUCUUUUUUGAACUAGCACUUAAACAUAAGACUAACUAGCUUUGGCUAUGCAUAUAUGUACAGCUUCCACUGGAUCCUCGCUUCCGUUGACAUCACGCAGGUGAAUUCAAGGAGGAACUUGAUUUCAAGCCUGAAUUCCAAGUCUGUGUUGAAUUUCCACAUCUCGUAACACUUCCUUGAAUACAACAAAUAUUUCAUAACUUCUUUUGCCAUAUACAUAGUGUUUGAGAUAGAAUCUGGGGAAUAAUUUAUGCGGAUACUACGUAUGUGAGUUCAUCCAUGACUUUGUAGGUCCCAAGCGUAUAGUCGACCACGAAUUCAGAGUACAUAUACAAAUUUCUUAACAAUAAAUUAGUUCUAACUGUGCAAACCCAUUGAUCUACUAUAUAAUAAUAUUUGCUAAUGAUAUAGGUGAGAGACAUGAAGGAAGCACUCCUCGAGAUGGAAAAAAUCAGGUUAAUUCAAGAACACCUGGAUGGAUUUCUUCUGGACGAGGUAGUAAAUCCAGCGGGGGAGUUCCAUAAUGAUGGAUCAAAUCUGCAUCACCGUCAGGACUUGGGUUCAGAAUAGUUAAUCCAAAAUGUUGAAAUUGGAAAGUUGAUACAAUGUAAUAUUAUUCAUAUAUGUAUAUGCACAAUAUGUCUAUAUAUAUAAUUAUCUCAAAUGCAAUAUUAUAGAUAAAUACAACUUUAUAUAUAUUAGAGUACGAGAACUAGUAUACGAAACAAAUAUGAAAUACUAAUAUAGAAUAUAGAAUAAAGAAAUAAAAAAAUGAGAAAAAAUAGAAAAAAAGACCUUUAGUACCGGUUGUUUAUACAAACCGGUACUAAAUUGGCCUACUUUAGCACCGAUUAUUUGAUCUGUUACUAAAGGCCUCCCUUUAAUACCGAACUAGCAAUAUCGGUUGCACAACCGGUACUAAAUGGGGGUUAGAAACCGGUACUGAAGGUGCUUUCCCCGGCUGUGGGUCCUUCACAUGUGCGUAACUUUGUAGGGGUGACUACUUUUAUAGUUGCGGUCUGAUGCAUUCCCGAAAGAGAAUGUGCUGAAAAUAUAUCAUCCAUUGUCUAAAAAAAGUAGUACAUGGUCCAAGUUAUCUAAAAAAAAGUAGUACAUGGUCCAAGGAACUCUUCACCUGACCUGGCCGUGUUCUGGUUCUGGAACUUUUACCUCCUGGGUCGCUUCCGUCGACAUCACGCAGGUGAAUUCAAGGAGGAACUUGAUUUCAAGCCUGAAUUCCAAGUCUGUGUUGAAUUUCCACAUCUCGUAACACUUCCUUGAAUACAACAAAUAUUUCAUAACUUCUUUUGCCAUAUACAUAGUGUUUGAGAUAGAAUCUGGGGAAUAAUUUAUGCGGAUACUACGUAUGUGAGUUCAUCCAUGACUUUGUAGGUCCCAAGCGUAUAGUCGACCACGAAUUCAGAGUACAUAUACAAAUUUCUUAACAAUAAAUUAGUUCUAACUGUGCAAACCCAUUGAUCUACUAUAUAAUAAUAUUUGCUAAUGAUAUAGGUGAGAGACAUGAAGGAAGCACUCCUCGAGAUGGAAAAAAUCAGGUUAAUUCAAGAACACCUGGAUGGAUUUCUUCUGGACGAGGUAGUAAAUCCAGCGGGGGAGUUCCAUAAUGAUGGAUCAAAUCUGCAUCACCGUCAGGACUUGGGUUCAGAAUAGUUAAUCCAAAAUGUUGAAAUUGGAAAGUUGAUACAAUGUAAUAUUAUUCAUAUAUGUAUAUGCACAAUAUGUCUAUAUAUAUAAUUAUCUCAAAUGCAAUAUUAUAGAUAAAUACAACUUUAUAUAUAUUAGAGUACGAGAACUAGUAUACGAAACAAAUACGAAAUACUAAUAUAGAAUAUAGAAUAAAGAAAUAAAAAAUGAGAAAAAAUAGAAAAAAAGACCUUUAGUACCGGUUGUUUAUACAAACCGGUACUAAAUUGGCCUACUUUAGCACCGAUUAUUUGAUCUGUUACUAAGGGCCUCCCUUUAAUACCGAACUAGCAAUAUCGGUUGCACAACCGGUACUAAAUGGGGGUUAGAAACCGGUACUGAAGGUGCUUUCCCCGGCUGUGGGUCCUUCACAUGUGCGUAACUUUGUAGGGGUGACUACUUUUAUAGUUGCGGUCUGAUGCAUUCCCGAAAGAGAAUGUGCUGAAAAUAUAUCAUCCAUUGUCUAAAAAAAGUAGUACAUGGUCCAAGUUAUCUAAAAAAAAGUAGUACAUGGUCCAAGGAACUCUUCACCUGACCUGGCCGUGUUCUGGUUCUGGAACUUUUACCUCCUGGGGGUGUUUAGAUACGAGGUGUUAAACUUUAGCAGGGUCACAUUGGAUGUUCGGAUGCCAAUUAGAAGGACUAAAUAUGAGCUAAUUAUAAAACUAAUUGCACAGAUGGAGUCUAAUUCGCGAGAUGAAUCUAUUAAGGCUAAUUAAUCCAUCAUUAGCAAAUGGUUACUGUAGCACCAUAUUAUCAAAUCAUGGACUAAUUAGGCUUAAUAGAUUCGUCUCGCAAAUUAGACUCCAUCUGUACAAUUAAUUUUAUAAUUAGACUAUAUUUAAUACUCCUAAUUAGUAUACAAACAUCCGAUGUGACAGGUACUAAAGUUUAACGCGGUGUUCCAAACACCGCCUAAAUUAGAAGAUCUCAUCCUGUGAAUUCUCAUCAAGUUCGCGGUCUGGUGACAAUGGAACGCAAGCAUUGAAUGCCGGUGGGCUGUCUGUACAGGUGGCAUGCCGGUGAUCAGUGCCGGUGUGGACAUAGCUUGCCAAGGGGGACAAAACUAUGCAUAGCCAAGGACCGCCUAAAAACUCCUAGAGAAUCUGUCUGAAAGAAUUGAAACUCAUUUCAGAUUGCUUCCAACCAUGGAAAACAUUUUCAAGGUGGACUAUCCGGGCAGCAGUCUACGGAAAGGAGCAGGCUACUUUUCAACGCGAGCCUUUUCGACCCAGCUAGCCGAUAGCCAGGCUCUCUGAACUCUAUAAAUCCAGCAUUGCUCGCAUUCUGCUCUUGCCACCUUUGGUUCUGCUCCGACACUGCAAACACGUCCAUCAGGAGCUCAUCCUUUUGCCUCCAAGCGCUAUCAGCCUAGUGACAUCACAUUCUAGCUCCCAAGCUUUCUGUCUAGUAUAGGCAGCCAAGCUUCAUCCAUGCCGGCAAAUAUGAUCUCCACCAAGUACGGCACACAGCAGUUCAUUUAUUUAUUUUCAGCUUAUUUUUAGUGUGUGGAUGAUACGUGCAUUCAUAAUUAGGGAUUUCAAAUCAUUUAAUUGUCUCUUCCGUUUGCUUCAUCCUCCAUGCAGGUUCCUUGAGAAGGCUGUCCUUCCACUGGAUGUUAUUGCUCCUCAUGUGAAGACUGAAGGUACUGCAUGCUUACACCAAGACCAUGGCAUGGCUAGCUGUUUCUGUGUAAUUUCCUCUUGCAUUCUUGAUAUCUCAUCAUGUUUAACAUCUUCCUCCAUGUUACUACUACUCCAAUUCAGCUGUGCGGACCAGCGUUCUUCGCAAUCCAAACAUGGAGAAGCUUCAGAAGGGCUACUUGUUCCCGGAGGUACCAACUUGACAAGCGUAGUAAUUUGCCGUGUUGUUUCGCUAAAACUAACAUGUUAAGUUGAUCCUCCCUCAUCAGAUUAGCAUGAAGCGUGAAGCUCACCUGAAGAAGUACCCUGACGCUAAGGUCAUAAGCUUGGGUAUCGGUGACACAACUGAACCCAUUCCAAGCGUCAUAACGUCAGCUAUGGCUGAGGUAUUCUUUGUUCUUUAUUUGAAGGUUGAACUGUUCUUUUCUCCUUUUUUUUCUCUGAACAUGCAGGCAUGCGAAAUUUUUUUAAACAAUAUAAAGCUACAUGAGGUGUUUUAAUAAAAAAAAUAUAUUGUCAGUCUAAUUAUAUUUUUUGGCUGCAUAAAUAGCCAAUUAUUUUAGUGACACUUCCGGCGGUUUUCAUCAGAUAUAUAAACUAGAGCAAUGGUUAGCAACUAGACGAUAUCCCUGCCUUGCGGGAAAAUGCGUGUGGCUGAUCAAUUAUAUGCUCAUGCAGCCAGCAAAACAAAAUGUUAAAUGGAUAAAUAAGAUCAUAUCAUAACGUCAAAUUGAGAUCUAAUCUCAAAGACGGAUCCUAAAAAUUAUUGAGCAAGAGACUAGCAGGCGGUCUAGUCGUGAUGAUCCGUUUGCAACUUUGGACAGACGCUACAACGACCAAACUGAUCAAACUGCCUGGAUAUAAAUAACGGAUAUGUUGAGUCAGACUGAACUUGCUAGGCUUGCCAAGAAAUAAUGUUUGCAGCAGAAAACUAAUUUGGGCGUGAGGAGAUAUAUAGGGCCGUUAAUGCAGUCUUACCUGACAUUAUCCUCUUAUAGACACAAGAAGUGAACUACUCCUACUUGUUUGGUCCACAUACUUAUCUUUCUAAACUUGCUCUCUAGCUAGUUUCUUACCCAAAAUAGUCGAAAUGAUCGUUGUCCUAGAUUGUGUCUGUCAUCAGCAUUGAAUUAUUUCCUACUUCCUACGUUUCAAAUUGUAGAUCGUUUUGACUUUUCUAGGUUCAUAGAUAUUAUUAUACAUCUAGAUAUAGUGUCUAGAUGUAUAAUAAUACCUAUGAACUAAAAAAGCUAAAACAACCUACAAUUUGGAACAGAGUACAUCCCAAAAUAUAAGUAUUUCAGAUUUUAAAAGUCAAACCAUCUUCAGUUUUACUGGCUUAUAGGUAAAAGAAUAACAACAUUUACAGUAGCAAAUUAGUAUUAUUGGAUAUAUUAUAAUUAUAAUAUAUAUUUUCGUAGUCUACUUCCUUGAUAUGGUAGCUGUUGAUACUUUUUUAUAUAAAGUUGGUAAAACUUACUGUAAUAUAGUUUAACUUAUGACAAAACUAGAAAUGCUUUUACGUUUGUAGAACAUAAGGAGUAUUAUAUUUGGUUGUGCUGUUCACCAUGCAUGAGUGCUUUGCACAAUGUUAAAUCAAUACUGCAACAUGUUAACGUCAUGCUCGCGUGUUACCAGAUUCUCACACGUUUCGUUUACAUAAGAGAACUUUCGCCUAAACGUAGAAGAAGAUUAUGUUGUACUAGUAUUCAGUAAGUGCCAAGAUCCUUCUGCUCCACCAGUUGGAAAAUUAGCUGAACUUACUGUUGUGUGUCAUUUGUUUUACAUGCUGGACUUUUUCUACCGAGAAAACUCGAAAGGUCCUUCCUUUGUCAAGGUUUUCCCCUUGUUCGAGACCCCGAGGGCCUGGUGUACGUCACUGCAGCCACGUCAUGGCCUCCCUGUUCUCGCUGUUUUCCACACAUACUGCCACAGCAUCUGUAAACUGACGUACUCUCCUGGUCCUGGCCAAACCUAUAAUAUGGGUUAAAUUACACCGACCCGAGAGAGCAAUUUCCAGUUUCCAAAUCGUUUGGUCAAUGGAUGUCUUCGUCGAUGUCUCAAAUUAUAAGUUAUUUUGGCUCUUUUAGAUUUAUAUAGUUUGCUAUGCACUUAGAUAUACGUACCUUAUCUAGAUAUAUCUAUACAUCUAAAAAAAAUUAAAACGACUUGUAAUUUGGAACGGAGGAAGUACCGGUAUGCCACAUUUUGACAGCAGGGGACAGAAAGGAGCAUGGGAUUCGAUGACUGCAACCCUUGAACAAAUUUUAGGCUUGCUUGCUUGACUUUGGUGCGGGUUCAUGCACGUCUGAGAAGUGAAACCAUUGAACAAAUUAUUUCAUCGGCUUGAUUAAAUAGAUUACCAGUUUGUGUACUUGGAAUUAAAAAAAAUGCUGUCCUGUUUUUGCAGUAUGCACUUGCGUUAUCCACUCCAGAAGGAUACCAGGGUUAUGGACCGGAGCAGGGUCAGAUGGUAAUGCAGAGAACCCUCAGCACUGAACUCUGAAGUUCAGUUAAUCCUACAGUUACGUACAGCAAGCCCAUGUGGCAGUUCACUGAACCAAGAUCUGCUUUGCUUUGUGAAAAUGUGCAGAAUCUGCGCAAGGUCAUUGCUGAGAAAGUGUACCCAGACAUGGGGAUAAAAGAGUCUGAUGUGUUCAUCUCGGACGGAGCGCAGUCUGACAUCGCACGCCUCCAGGUACACUCAGCGACUUGGUUUACUGAGCUGUUUUUGCCAUCUUGGCUACUGCUAAAGAGAUCUCACCUUCUUCUUCCCUGUGCAUUCACGGCACGCAGACGCUGUUCGGGCCCAACGUGAGCAUCGCCGUCCAAGAUCCCACCUUCCCGGUACGACAACCCAUUUCACAGGCAGGGCCGCCAGAUCGUCUCUGCAGCAGCUGAUCGAUACGAUUCACAUGCUCGACCGUGAUGUCCGUGUGCAGGGCUACGUGGACAACGGCGUGAUCGUGGGGCAGACCGGCGCGGCGGACGAGGCCGGCAAGUACGCCGGCAUCGCCUACAUGCGUUGCGCGCCGGAGAACGACUUCUUCCCUGACCUCUCCCGCGUGCCGCGCACCGACGUCAUCUUCUUCUGCUCGCCCAACAACCCGACGGGCCACGUCGCUUCCCCGGCGCAGCUGCGGGAGCUCGUCGACUUCGCGCGGCGGAACGGCUCCAUCAUCGUGUUCGACGCGGCGUACGCGUGGUACGUGUCGGAGGGCAAGCCCCGGUCCAUCUACGAGGUGCCCGGCGCCCGGGAGGUGGCCAUCGAGAUCUCCUCCUUCUCCAAGUUCGCCGGGUUCACGGGCGUCCGCCUCGGCUGGGCGGUGGUGCCCGCCGAGCUCCGCUACGCCGACGGAUCCCCCGUCGCGCGCGACUUCGACCGCAUCGUGUGCACCUGCUUCAACGGCGCGUCCAGCGUCGCCCAGGCCGGCGGGGUCGCCUGCCUCUCCACGGAGGAAGGCCGGGGCGCGGUGCGCCGCGUCGUGGGCGUGUACAAGGAGAACGCGCGGGUGCUGGUGGACACGUUCGCGUCGCUCGGCAAGGAGGUGUACGGCGGCGCCGACUCGCCCUACGUCUGGGUGCGCUUCCCGGGGCGCCGCUCGUGGGACGUGUUCACGGAGAUCCUCGAGAAGACGCACGUCAUCACCGUGCCGGGCAGCGGCUUCGGCCCCGGCGGCGAGGGGUUCGUCAGGGUCAGCGCCUUCAACAGCAGGGACAGGGUGUUGGAGGCCGCCGCCAGGCUCAGGAAAUUCCUCGCCUGAGCGCCGCGCCGACCUACACCACCGCAUUUAUUUUAUAUAUAUGUAUAUGUAGUACGUGAUCAAUAACAUUGUUACGCGCUGAUGAUGCGCUGACAACUAUACUACUUAGAAUGUGUACUCGUCAAUCCACAAAAAUGCACACCGCACAUGUAUCUUCAUUGCUUUAUUCGAAUAAUAAUUUCAGUUUUCACACAUGGACCCGUCCAUUGCCAAAAGAACUCACGAUGUAGAGCUUCAAAAGCUCUGGAAAGGGGGUACGGGGCACAAAAAAUUCGCACGCUAUAAUUCUCAAGUUACGAGGGCCCUCUUCUAUUUCCAUAGCUUGUGCUACACAGGUAUGCACCACAGCUGUACAAGGAUUCAUUUUCAACCAUGAAUGAAUCCAUGAUUCAGACGAAAAGACAACUGAAGUUUAUUCAGAUCAGAUACUGAAAGAUGCUACCGUGGGUUGUUUCACAGCAAGCGCUUAUACCACUUCUGCUCAAUUAUUUUGUAACUGUUAUGAAGACCCCACCGUUUAAACUCUUCCUUUUUAGUCACUUUUACUUUCUUCCUUCGCUUUCCUUGUCUUGGUUGAGGUUCAAGUGGUUCAAAUUCUCCUCAAGAGGUGGCAAAUCGUCAUCAGAAUCACCCUCAGAUCCUUCCUCACUUUCCUUGUCUUGGUUGAGGUUCAAGUGGUUCAAAUUCUCCUCAAGAGGCGGCAAAUCGUCGUCCGAAUCACCCUCAGAUCCUUCCUCGCUUUCCUCAUCUUGGUUGUGGUUCAAGUGGUUCAAAUUCUCCACCAGAGGCGGCAAAUCAUCAUCAGAAUCACCCUCAGAUCCUUCCUCUGUGCUUCGACGUGAUUUUUCUGCUUGUCACACAAAAUAUUUAAGCAAAAUUAAUGACCACAGAAUCAAUUUAGUGAUCUAAAGAUGGAUAGAUUGUGGAAAACCCGGUGUCUCUGAGAUUAUUACCAUUUACAGGUGGCUUUGGAACACUCGAGUUACUUGAUAACCAGGAAUUCUGCACAUUGAUUAUCUCAGAGCCACUUUCACAUUGGGAGUAUGCUUUCAGGAGGUCUCUGCACAUAGUUACAAAAGAAGGGUGUGACAACCAGACCUAAAUGCAUCAUGUAGAAAGGGGCACACCUAGUAUGUAGAAUUCAGGCUUCAUAAACUGCUGAAGGUUUGACAUGAAAAAAUAACGUUGGAUGGUUGCAAUGACUCAUAUUAUUUUAACCAUAACUGAAUGACCUCUAUCCUUAACAUGACUCUGCAACUGCCUUCUGAAAUUUGCUGGAUAAUGGUGAAAAAGCGGAACAAUGAUAUAUGCUAUACGCUGCCUCUUAAAAAUAUCUGAAAUACGGUACCAAUGUGCUAUUAGUGUAUACAGGACAGCAUGGAUUGUCUUUGGCAACAUCCUUGGUUAGGUAACCAUUCAGCUUAUGGAGGCAGAAAAUAACUUCAUCUAUCCAGCUUUUGCUUACAGAAUACAGAUUGUAGUUUGCACAAGAUGGUAUAGUGUUCAAACAUCCAUUACUGUAUGUAUCAUAAACACGGGAAUCAAUGUAUGAUCAUUAAGUACAGAACCACUACAACCUGCAUAUGAUACUUUAAAUAUUCCACUGGACUAACCUGUUUAGCGACAAGAAUGCGUGGCCCCACUUGAAUUUCCCUAGCAGUAAAUGUGCUGUAUCUUCCUCCCCACUGCAAAUACAUAAAUAGCAUGAGCUGACACCUGAUAACAACUAACUUCUACAUCCAACAACAAGUUCGCCAGCAACUUCUGUUAGGUAAGCUUUCAAAAAAUUACCAUAUUAUGAGGGCUGCUGAUAAAGCUUCCACACAAGACAGUUCACAUGGGCGGCCAUAGUUCACAGGGUUUGCUGCUACCAACCAUGGCACUGCAAACGUCAAAAUAAACCAGUUCCAUUGAACAGAUACAAUUCUGAUUUGUAUAAUAUAUAAAGCCACAUUCUCAGACAACUUAGUUGCAUAGGCUCUCUCCCAUUUGUAGGUGGGACAAUAUUUGGAUAAAGAAAAACAAGAAAAUCAGCUUUGCAAAGAACAACGAGCCAAAGUCACAACCCAAAAUGGAAUUGUACAGGAUCAAACUUCGAACAACAGUAAAUUUGACAAAAUGAUCAAAUUUAGAAAUGAUAACUGCUUUCUACAUUAUACAUAAUCAUUUAGUAGAUUGUAUUCAUGUGCAUUACUAGGAUCCAUGCAGAACAGAUAGGACAGAAUAAUCCCAAGGACCACAUGCAUAACUCGUAAUGAUGAUUAAUGAACAUCAAAGAUGCACUGUCUUAUUGAAGUUAUUUAGAUAUAAUUAUCUUACAGAGACGAGGAGCACCACAGCGGAGUUUCACAAAAGGGACAUCACUUAAGCGUGCCCAGGAACAAUCAACCACAGCCAAUCCUUUUCUUUGCACAAUAGAAUGAUCAGCCUUAGAUACACAUUGUGUCCCAACAGGGCUGAAACAGAACGGAAUGAAAACAAGUAAGCAGCAGAACUAAUAGUGUGUCUCAAAGACCAAUUUUACUGGAGCAAUCUUUAGUUUGUUUUUAAAAUUUACAGCAUAGAAAAUGUUUAAACGCAUACAUUGUAAAAAUACCUGAGAACAACACCACCAAAACCAUUGGUCACUCGCAACUCCUGGAAGACAAAUAACAAUCUUCUUAAGACCAGCUAAUUUUUUUGUAGCUGAGUGCUAGACUGCUAGUGUUGACAAAAUGUGUGUUUACAAGAACAAACUGAACACUAGUUUGAGCAGAGCCAGCAUGAAUACUAGUUGGAGCAAUCUUUAGUUUUUUUAAAAAAAUUACACCAUUAUAUCAAGGCAAAAUUUGCUGUAUGACAUGCAAAGUGAUGUCGAUUUGCUGAUGGACACCGAAAAAAGUAUAAUUGGCUGGUGGACACUCUAGUUUUGUGAUAAUUUGCUGGAAGACACCGCAUUGAUUAAAAUAAUAUUUUUAGACUGAAUAGGAGAGAGAAAUAGAGGGAAUGUUCAUUUUUACCCCUGGUCCCACUGGUCAGACCUUUCUUCUUCCUCUCCCUCCACUUUCUCCAAGGCCCAUUGGCCGUUGCUGUGCUAUCCGCCAGCCUGAGCAACUCCCCAUAUCCCAUCCAUCUUUCGUCCACAGCACCUCCACCUACGCCGCCCCACAGUCCCAGCUCCACCCCACUCAAAGAAGCUCCGGUGGCCACAUGCGCCUGCUCUUCCCUGCAGCCAUCUUGCCCCAAGCGGUGUGCGCCGCCUCUGGCCCGAGCUUCGCCCGGAGGAGCUCCGAUGGCAGAUAGCAACGCCGCGGGCGCAGACGCAGGGGUACCGUGGGGCCUGCAGGAGGAACGGGAGGAGGAAGAGGAAAGAAGUGAAGGGAAGACUCCAUACAAGAUUAGGAGCUUUAGAUUCAUGAGUGGAUGAGCUUAAUCCAACUUGGGACAACCUCAAUUUCUACUUGUCUAGCUCGAUUUAGUGCUCCGCUCUUGCUGACCUCAUGCCUGAUGCAAACCACCGCGUGUCGUCGAGCCUCUAGCCAUGGUCGGCAGUGGCUUUGGACGGCAGGGCUCGGGCUUGGCGAAGGGAUGGGUUUGUAGAGCUCGGCGCAGCGCGGCUUGCCACAAGUCCAGGGGCCACAGCGAUCGGUCGAGUCUAGGUGCAAGAAAUCGCAGAAGGGAGGAGGAAGAAGGGGCUGACCAGUGGAGCCAGGGGGCAAAAAUGACCAUUCACACUAUAUCUCUAUCAUGUUCAGCCCAAAAAUAUUAUUUUAAUUAAUGCGGUGUCUUCCGCAAAUUAUCACAAAACUAGAGUGUCCACCAGCCAAUUGUACUUUUUUCGGUGUCCAUCAGCAAAUCGACAUCACUUUGCAUGCCCACAGCAAAUUUUGCCUUAUACCAAUGGGUAUCCUAAUUUGUAUAUUUUCAUGUAUUUCGUCAGUUUUAGCAUGUAUAUUGGUUCAGAGUGGAUGAGAAGGGUUUGGUCGUUUGAAUAUUGGUGAAUCAAGUAGUGUGCUACCUUUAGAAGCCCAAACCUUGAAAGCUUACGACCAGUACACCUUUUAACAUCGCAUUGCCCAAAGUCCUAUACAACAACAAAUGCAGAGCAUAAUCACAAGUGUCAAAUGAGCACCAAAUGAUUGUAUACGAAAUAGUGCACCUACCCACAUUGCGAGCUGAAUUCUUGAACCUUUGAAUUCCUCUUCAGUGUCUUCUGGAUAAAUAAAUGAUAUUCUCAGCAGUGAGAUUAAGAUUUUGACUUCUGACACAUGAUGUAAAUUUGCAAAGUGAUUUGGUGAAUCCUUAAACUGGAUGUGAUGGUUUAUAAAAGAAUGAUAUGAUGGAGCAUAUGAAAUAAUUAACUCUGGUCAUGUUUACUGUUAUGUUUAAGGAGGCGCACAAGGAAAAAUUGAAAUAAUUGACAGCUGAGACAAUUUCUUUUCAUGUAAAGAACUAAAGAUAUCUCAACAUGAUACAUUAAUUUAUCAGUUUUCGACAUGUUCAAACCACAGAAUAUCCAAAAAUACAAGAAAAACACGUACCUUCCUGCCUUGGAAGUGACGUCCCAGGACCAUCAUCCCUGAAAUUGAAGAUUAAAAGUCUGGCUUUACUCCAUUUGUAAAAAGAAGAUAUCAAUAUUAUAAUCCAAUAGCACAAAUUAAACUGAAGUGAACAAUAUCUAUGCAGCAAGAAGAGCAAACGCACCCCACCUAACUUAACAAAACGAUACCACAACGGAAAAAAAUUUACAUUUAAUCAAAAACGGGCUAAGAAUUAUAAUCGAGACCUUAAGUUGAACUGAUUCGUCUCACUAAUACUAACUACAGACCGUUAAAAUAUAGUGCAAGCAGAGAUGAAAUAGUUGCGUGUUAUUACAUGGAUGCUUCUUGCUUGGCGCGGCGCGAAGACGAGGAGGAGGAUCCGCGGCCGCGCCUGUGGCGGUUGUAUCCCAUCCCGGACGGCUUCCCGGCGGCGGCUUCGCUCGGCUCAAGAGAAGGUUUAGGACUUGCGGUGGAUGACUAGUAGGGGUGCGGUAGGGCGGGCUGCGGACCGCCGCGCUGGUGGCGAUUCCGUUUGUCGGCUACGCGGUUGCCCACGAAGGCGGCGGCUGGCGGCCGGAGAAGGGAACUCACAGGUCUCACUCAGCCGCAACCGCACGGGGGCACGGCACGAGCAACCCGGGGCGAUGCGACGAUGCCGAAGGGCUUGCGGCGCCCUAGCGGGCCUUCCUUGUCGUAUAAUGGGCCUGGAAGGCCAGUUGCCUUUUCGGGGUGGGCUUGUCAAGAAGGCAUGUGGAUUAUAAGUCAGGCCCUCCGUGCUGAGUGACUGAGUGAGUGUAGCCCCGCCCGGACCUCAAUCAUCGUCCAGCCCAGCGGUGCAACAUUCUGACAGUGUUAGUGGGCCGAAUGUCCUUGCAACCAGCACAUCAACCGAUCAACGCAUUAUACCAUCAUGCUUGCAUACCUGUCUUGACCUUGGACGAAAUGCAUGGGCAGGUUGAUCCUUCGUUGGCGUGUCAACCAUGGCAACUCAUUCGCUGCCACUGUCCCGGGAUUUUUUUAAAAAAUGAUUGAGACCAAAAGCAAUACACGGACAUGACACGAAUAUAGUAGCUCAUCUACAUCUUCGGGUCGUUCGUACUAGGUUGCUUCACAAGAGGAUCAUUUUCGUCUUUUUAUUUUUGCCCCUGAUUUUUUCGAUCCAUGGUUUAUAUGUCCUGGUGUCAGAUUGUCUGAAUUAAAAGGUGAGCUUCAGAACUUCUUCAUGUGAUCUUUUCAAAACUUGGCCUGAAACGAUGCCGUCAAAUCGAGAGGGGACAACGAAGACAUGCCCUGAUUUUCGCUCCGUGACGAUACCAUAUCCGUCUAGAGAACUCCCCCUGCUGCUGUUUUAUCGUCUCCUGCUGAGCACACGACCAAAUCUCCAACAGCUGCUUCCUGCAGGCUGACUGAAGAAGUUGGCCGAAAGCAACCGUUCUGUUAUUUUUGCCACUGUGACCGGAAUGCAUCCACAACAUCUGUGCAGUUGUACUAGUCGAUUAAACCAUACACUAUGCAUAUAAAUAAAAUUAAUCAUACAUCAAUAAUGAGAAGAAGAAAAAAAAGUGUGUACAAAUAAUUCCGUCAUAGAACCCUAAUUAAAACAGAAGAGAAAGGAGCUACUCUGCAGAACCAGGAACAAGAAAGGUACAAACAGUAUCUCUAAAGGCACAACAUCGA
This 28349-nucleotide long non-coding RNA is filed under the name Setaria viridis. RNAcentral describes it as "long non-coding RNA (SVIR_LNC011403)". The record is from RNAcentral. Lineage: Eukaryota; Viridiplantae; Streptophyta; Magnoliopsida; Poales; Poaceae.